RNAcentral lists this unclassified non-coding RNA (291 nucleotides) under fungal sp. RNAcentral's name for it is "partial internal transcribed spacer region". The stretch from base 1 to 45 matches the Rfam family "Eukaryotic small subunit ribosomal RNA", at positions 1787 to 1831 of the family's 1831-position model. The record is from RNAcentral. Lineage: Eukaryota; Fungi.
AGUCGUAACAAGGUAACCGUAGGUGAACCUGCGGUUGGAUCAUUAUCUAUAAACUGACUAGACUUUUGUCUAGUUUAUAGUCUCGUCUCUACUAGGUAACUGGUAUUGACUGAGGCAACACCCUAUGUGAAUUUGUUAUUAUUAUGGAGGGGAGGUUCUAGUCAUAGGACCUUUUCUUUCUAUAUAAACAUUGACCAUAGACCAGUAGGAACUCUUUGAGAACCUAUAGAGAACACCAGAGAAAACCAUACUAAAAGUAAACAACUUUUGACAACGGAUCUCUUGGCUCUC